Molecule: unclassified non-coding RNA, 166 nt
Filed under: uncultured Rhizoscyphus
Lineage: Eukaryota; Fungi; Ascomycota; Leotiomycetes; Helotiales; Helotiaceae
Description: sequence contains ITS1
Source: RNAcentral
AAGAAUCGCCCCGUUUUUUGAAAUGGGUUCUAUUCCCAAACCGUGUAUACAUACCUUUGUUGCUUUGGCAGGCCGCCUUUUAGGCGUCGGCUUCGGCUGGCCAGCGCCUGCCAGAGGACCUAAAACUCCUGUUAAUAAUGUCGUCUUGAGUACUAUAUAAUAGUUA